This is a regulatory RNA element of Oxobacter pfennigii, 112 nucleotides long. It matches the Rfam family "pemK RNA". NCBI's taxonomy places the organism in Bacteria, Bacillati, Bacillota, Clostridia, Eubacteriales, Clostridiaceae. The record is from Rfam.
GAUACUUGCGUUCAGUCACAGUCCGAGCGUUGAAGCGGCCAACAGGCCGUGAGCCGUCGCAGGCAAUGAGGACGCCUCGCCAUCAGAAUGGGGAGAGGUGAAAUUCCUAUGG